This 20-nucleotide non-coding RNA is filed under the name Mus musculus (house mouse). The record is from RNAcentral. Lineage: Eukaryota; Metazoa; Chordata; Mammalia; Rodentia; Muridae.
UAACAACAACAACAACAACA